ACUGCGGAGACUAGAAGAAGUGCAUGUCGUCCACACACAUUCAGCCCAAGGUGCCUGGACCUUGGCAGAAGCCAUUGUUCCAACUCUCAGUUCCAGGUCUGAGACCCUUGUCUAUGAAGCUCGGUAGCUCCCCGUUGCUGUCUAUCCUUCAGCCUCCCCUUCCUGCUCUCUUGUCUUCUUUCUUCUGUCUUCCUUAUUCUUCCGACCUUGGUCCUCGCAAACGGUUCGACUGUCUUCCUUUAACUGUCGAGCCCGAACUGCCCGGAUGCUUUCAAAGCGUCGGGUACUGACUUACGUUCCUGCUUCUGCCACUGUGCCUCUACCAUCCACCUCCAAUCACCGAGAUGUGCUCAGGGCACGCGUGUCAGGGUUCGCUAGACUGGGGGGAACCUCUGAGCAGGGAUGUGAGGGAUCGUCUCGGCAACGCUAAUAGAUGAUGGAAGACCCAUCUUUAUAAGGAUUGUAAUGUUACCAACAACUUCAAGCUCCGGCUGCCUUGACAUCCCCACUUUGAUUGACUGUGCCUUCAAGUGUGACCAAAAUAAAACCUGUCUUUCCUUU
Long non-coding RNA from Myodes glareolus (Bank vole), 561 nucleotides. RefSeq lists it as uncharacterized. Lineage: Eukaryota; Metazoa; Chordata; Mammalia; Rodentia; Cricetidae. The record is from RefSeq and is a predicted model, not a curated record.